GUGGGGAAUAUUGGACAAUGGGCGCAAGCCUGAUCCAGCCAUGCCGCGUGAGUGAUGAAGGCCCUAGGGUUGUAAAGCUCUUUCACCGGUGAAGAUAAUGACGGUAACCGGAGAAGAAGCCCCGGCUAACUUCGUGCCAGCAGCCGCGGUAAUACGAAGGGGGCUAGCGUUGUUCGGAAUUACUGGGCGUAAAGCGCACGUAGGCGGACAUUUAAGUCAGGGGUGAAAUCACAGAGCUCAACUCUGGAACUGCCUUUGAUACUGGGUGUCUUGAGUAUGGAAGAAGUAAGUGUAAGUCCGAGUGUAGAGGUGGAAUUCGUAGAUAUUCGGAGGAACACCAGUGGCGAAGGCGGCUUACUGGUCCAUUACUGACGCUGAGGUGCGAAAGCGUGGGGAGCAAACAGGAUUAGAAACCCGAGUAGUCC
RNAcentral lists this ribosomal RNA (425 nucleotides) under uncultured bacterium. RNAcentral's name for it is "partial 16S ribosomal RNA". It matches the Rfam family "Bacterial small subunit ribosomal RNA", at positions 354 to 796 of the family's 1533-position model. The record is from RNAcentral.